RNAcentral lists this ribosomal RNA (1701 nucleotides) under Campylobacter coli. Its description in RNAcentral is "partial 23S ribosomal RNA". It matches the Rfam family "Bacterial large subunit ribosomal RNA", at positions 1243 to 2925 of the family's 2925-position model. The record is from RNAcentral. Lineage: Bacteria; Pseudomonadati; Campylobacterota; Epsilonproteobacteria; Campylobacterales; Campylobacteraceae.
AUUUGCGUCGAAGGUAUACCGGUAAGGAGUGCUGGAGCGAAUAGAAGUGAGCAUGCAGGCAUGAGUAGCGAUAAUUAAUGUGAGAAUCAUUAACGCCGUAAACCCAAGGUUUCCUACGCGAUGCUCGUCAUCGUAGGGUUAGUCGGGUCCUAAGUCGAGUCCGAAAGGGGUAGACGAUGGCAAAUUGGUUAAUAUUCCAAUACCAACAUUAGUGUGCGAUGGAAGGACGCUUAGGGCUAAGGGGGCUAGCGGAUGGAAGUGCUAGUCUAAGGUCGUAGGAGGUUAUACAGGCAAAUCCGUAUAACAAUACUCCGAGAACUGAAAGGCUUUUUGAAGUCUUCGGAUGGAUAGAAGAACCCCUGAUGCCAUCGAGCCAAGAAAAGUUUCUAAGUUUAGCUAAUGUUGCCCGUACCGUAAACCGACACAGGUGGGUGGGAUGAGUAUUCUAAGGCGCGUGGAAGAACUCUCUUUAAGGAACUCUGCAAAAUAGCACCGUAUCUUCGGUAUAAGGUGUGGUUCGCUUCGUAUUAGGAUUUACUCCGAAAGCGAAGAAACUUACAACAAAGAGUCCCUCCCGACUGUUUACCAAAAACACAGCACUCUGCUAACUCGUAAGAGGAUGUAUAGGGUGUGACGCCUGCCCGGUGCUCGAAGGUUAAUUGAUGGGGUUAGCAUUAGCGAAGCUCUUGAUCGAAGCCCGAGUAAACGGCGGCCGUAACUAUAACGGUCCUAAGGUAGCGAAAUUCCUUGUCGGUUAAAUACCGACCUGCAUGAAUGGCGUAACGAGAUGGGAGCUGUCUCAAAGAGGGAUCCAGUGAAAUUGUAGUGGAGGUGAAAAUUCCUCCUACCCGCGGCAAGACGGAGAGACCCCGUGGACCUUUACUACAGCUUGACACUGCUAUUUGGAUAAGAAUGUGCAGGAUAGGUGGGAGGCUUUGAGUAUAUGACGCCAGUUGUAUAUGAGCCAUUGUUGAGAUACCACUCUUUCUUAUUUGGGUAGCUAACCAGCUUGAGUUAUCCUCAAGUGGGACAAUGUCUGGUGGGUAGUUUGACUGGGGCGGUCGCCUCCCAAAUAAUAACGGAGGCUUACAAAGGUUGGCUCAGAACGGUUGGAAAUCGUUCGUAGAGUAUAAAGGUAUAAGCCAGCUUAACUGCAAGACAUACAAGUCAAGCAGAGACGAAAGUCGGUCUUAGUGAUCCGGUGGUUCUGUGUGGAAGGGCCAUCGCUCAAAGGAUAAAAGGUACCCCGGGGAUAACAGGCUGAUCUCCCCCAAGAGCUCACAUCGACGGGGAGGUUUGGCACCUCGAUGUCGGCUCAUCGCAUCCUGGGGCUGGAGCAGGUCCCAAGGGUAUGGCUGUUCGCCAUUUAAAGCGGUACGCGAGCUGGGUUCAGAACGUCGUGAGACAGUUCGGUCCCUAUCUGCCGUGGGCGUAAGAAGAUUGAAGAGAUUUGACCCUAGUACGAGAGGACCGGGUUGAACAAACCACUGGUGUAGCUGUUGUUCUGCCAAGAGCAUCGCAGCGUAGCUAAGUUUGGAAAGGAUAAACGCUGAAAGCAUCUAAGCGUGAAGCCAACUCUAAGAUGAAUCUUCUCUAAGCUCUCUAGAAGACUACUAGUUUGAUAGGCUGGGUGUGUAAUGGAUGAAAGUCCUUUAGCUGACCAGUACUAAUAGAGCGUUUGGCUUAUCUUUAAUAAAGCAU